GUGACUGGUUGGAGUCAAUGAGUGUGUUUUAAUUUGAGAGUUUGGAUUAAAUAGCUGGCAAAUGAAGAAUAUAUUGACUGUAUAAGCCAUUAUUGCAGUAACUAAUAGGAUACCUUGUGGAUGGAUUGAGAGAAGCAGCAAUGUGAUACAUUGCUAAUUAAAGAUCAGAAGUGCCACUUCAGGUGUGAAGCAACUGGCUCCGAUCAGCAGCAGGCAAGAAGCUCCUAAUUAAGAUGCAGUCUCAGCUAAAUGUCUCAGCUCAAUGAUACUGAUACUAAUUGGUAUUGCAAAAGCAUAUUAAAAUCAACGCAGGCUGUGACCCGCUCUGACAACUGCAGCAGAAACAAGGCUGGAGAAGUCAACUGGCUUGAAUCAUUCAUCGCCAAAGAAAGACACUGAUGACCAAACGUAUGAUCCUGAGACCACCUCCAAUUUGUUGAAGGGUUUUGGACCCUGGGAUGUCUUGUCUGAAACCAGGAAAAUUCCACCAGGUGGAGGAAUGCAGGCAUUCAGACAGUAUAUAAUCAGGAUAGCUCCCCUAACAUUGUCCCGCCUCCCAGCAGGUUUCC
Long non-coding RNA from Stegostoma tigrinum, 569 nucleotides. RefSeq lists it as uncharacterized. The record is from RefSeq and is a predicted model, not a curated record. The transcript has 3 exons. NCBI's taxonomy places the organism in Eukaryota, Metazoa, Chordata, Chondrichthyes, Orectolobiformes, Stegostomatidae.